This is a long non-coding RNA of Strongylocentrotus purpuratus (purple sea urchin), 11359 nucleotides long. RefSeq lists it as uncharacterized. Lineage: Eukaryota; Metazoa; Echinodermata; Echinoidea; Camarodonta; Strongylocentrotidae. The transcript has 12 exons. The record is from RefSeq and is a predicted model, not a curated record.
UCUGCAGAUACAGUAUAAAGCCAAGCAAGGUGUGGAGAGAGAUUUUGCUUAGUUGAAGCCAGUUGAAGUGAAGAUACAGUAUAAAGCCAAGCAAGGUGUGGAGAGAGAUUUUGCUUAGUUGAAGCCAGUUGAAGUGAAGAUCCUUGAAGUUGAAGUUGGUUGAAGCAGAGGUGUGAGUGAUAGCCAGCAAGAACACAAAUAAACAGCAAGGACGAGUGUUGGAUUGUCUGUGUUGGAGUUACUGGAAGGAGGUAGUGGUGUUUAAGUAAGUAUUAGGGGACUUGAGUUGAAAGUGUUCAGCCUAUGGUCAUGGUAGUAACUGUUCAAAAAGGAUUAAUUAUGUUAUGCCAUGUAGUGGCACUGAUUUAAUCUUACCUAUGUUUUGACUUUAUCUUACCUAUGUUUUGACUUUAAGGUCAGUUGAGCUGAUUCUAUAGGAAGGCACAAAAUGAACAAUUGUCAAAGCAAAUACUAUGAUUAUGAUUGCACAUGCAGCAAUUAAAAAAAAAUGAGAUUACAUUGUGAAAUAAGCCUACAAUGAGAUCAAAUAAAUCUGUUGGCAUAUAGGGUGAAAAAGUUUUAAACCAUGGGAUUGUUUAAGGCCAAAAUUUGGAUGAUAUAGUCAUUCAUUGGAAACCUCCAUGUUGUGUUGAGAUCAUGGGUCAAUUAUAUAGGUCAAAGUUUAAAUUAGGUCAAAUGUUAUGGCAUACCUGCAGGACUAAAGAAUAAAAAACAUUUUACACAUUGAAAAUCCUUAUUUGUCAAACCUGUAUUGCACAUUCUGUGUAUACCUCUGUCCGAAUAGGGGAAAGUGGUUAGACUUUUGUGACAAUUAAUCUUGUAACUUUUAUAUCCUGUCCAAAAUGAUUUUUACUAAAAUGAUUACUUGGUAUUCUGCUAUUAGCCAUAAUGGCUGGAAUUCACAAAGGUGGUUUAGAUUUAGACCACGGUUUAUGCUUUUUAUGGCUAUAUUACAUUGCGCUGUUUACAUUUUUAAUGUGCAAUAGUACCUGUGUUUUCAAGAUCUUCACACUUGGUACAAAAAUAAGGAAGAAUAGUUUUUGGUGUUAUAUAUCAAGGUUAUGUUUACAUAGACAUUUUCUGCUUGACAAGUCAAAUAAUUAUAUUGAGGGCUACGGCAAUACUGUGGUUCAUGGGAAGAAGGAGGCAUACCAGUAGACUGCACACAGUCGAAUCAAAUGAAACAUGUCUCAGCCAUCAUAUUAAGCCCAUCAAUUGUAGACUCUUCCAUUGGGUGUUGCCAAAAUUUGAAUAGAAUCCAUCAAACAUGUAAGGAGUUGGUCAAGAUGAAGAAAAAAAGGGGGGGGGGGUGUUAAACACAUAGUGCAAACAUGCACAAAUAUCUUGAUUUUAGUCUAAUACAAUACAUAUUGUACAUGUGACCUUGCCUAAGUCGAACUUGGAUAAGUCAAAACUUGCCAAAGUCGAAGGUCUACACAGAGCCCAACCUGUUUUGUCCUAUUGUUUUAUGACCCUCGGUCUCUCAGAAAGCUAUUUUAUGGAUCCCAAGAGAUUUUAGUUACUGUAUGUAAGGUUGAUUAUGUAUUCAAUUUUCUGUCUCUGUUCUUUUGGCAGGUACUGGUUGCUUUGGAAGGCAAUUUGUGUUUGUGUUGUUAUUUAUCAAAUCAUCUUCAUUUUUCAAAACAUUACAUACCAUACCAUUCCAUCUUCACCCUCAGAACUCGUGAUCUUGAGUUUUUGAGAAAAGCAGUACUCAUUCAGAAGUUCAUUUGAAGUUUCAUCCAGAAUCCCAUUCCCAUUCUAUCAUAUUCAAAACAUUACAUACCAUACCAUUCCAUCUUCACCCUCGGAACUCGUUAUCUGAGUUUUUGAGAAAAGCAGUACUCAUUCAGAAGUUCAUUUGAAAUUUCAUCCAGAAUCCCAUCCUAAAGUCUGUUUAUUGGCAACUCACGACAAUAAGCCUCUAGCACUUAUAAGCUAGUCGGUGAGUCAAGAAGAGUUGUGGUAGACAGCAAGAGAAAGUCUGUUUAUUGGCAACUCACGACAAUAAGCCUCUAGCACUCAUACAUAAGCUAGUCGGUGAGUCAAGAAGAGUUGUGAUAGAUAGCAAGAGAAAGUCUGUUUAUUGGCAACUCAUGACAAUAAGCCUCUAGCACUUAAGAAGCUAGUUGGUGAGUUAAAGAAGAGUUGUGAUAGAUAGCAAGAAUCACAUUGAACCACAAUUAUUCUAUUGAAACCUGAGAAACCUUGAAUCAAGAGCUAUUCUUAUCACAGAAGUGAUUCUUAUAACUUUUUUUCUGAAUCUAUUCUAAGCUGUCUGAACUUUUCUAAUUACAGAAGUAAUUCCUACAAGACAGAGGUCUUGAUCUUUUGCUACAGAAGUAGCCCUACUUUCUUGUGAUACUUUAUUUCUGAAUCUACUCUAUCUUACUGAACUUCACAAAUCUUCUCCUAUUUUACAAGCUUUCUAAAUAUAUUCUUUAUCACAGAAGUGAUUCCUACAAGAUUUCUGAAUCUAUUUUAUUCUAAGCUGUCUAAACUUUUCUUACCUAUUCCUAUUACUGAAAAAAGUGAGCUUGAUUGAGUGUAAAGUGAAUAAAGCAGAAUUGAUUGAAGAGAGUUUGGAGCUGAAUAUAUAGAAAUAAACGUAAGAUUGAUUGAUUGUAAAGUGCAUAAGCUGAAGUGAUUGCAGAGAGAACAGAGUUUGGAGAAAAGACAGAAAUAUAUGUGUGAUUGAUUUAAUUGCAAAGACAAUAAGAGUUGUAAAAGUAUAAGUGAGCCUAAGUGAUUGCAGAGAGUAAGACAAGAGCUUUGGUCAGGAUAUUCUGAGAUUGAGACAUACAAGUGAGGUUGAUUGCAGAGAAAGAAGUUUUGGUCAGGAUAUUUAGAGAUUGAGACAUACAAGUGAGGUCGAUCUAUUGCAGAGAAAGAAGUUUUGGUCAGGAUAUUUAGAGAUUGAGACAUACAAGUGAUAUUGAUUGCAGAGAAAGAAGUUCUGGUCAGGAUAUUUAGAGAUUGAGACAUACAAGUGAGGUCGAUCUAUUGCAGAGAAAGAAGUUUUGGUCAGGAUAUUUAGAGAUUGAGACAUACAAGUGAUAUUGAUUGCAGAGAAAGAAGUUCUGGUCAGGAUAUUUAGAGAUUGAGACAUACAAGUGAGGUUGAUUGCAGAGAAAGAAGUUCUGGUCAGGAUAUUUAGAGAUUGAGACAUACAAGUGAGGUUGAUUUUUCUUUAUUAUGGAAUUUGAAGGUGAUCAAUUCAAGGAAGUGAUACAAGAGAUUGUAGAUAUGCUAUGGAGUUGUGCAUCAGUUCUCGAUCCGCAGAAUGAAGAAUGUUGCGUAUGUAGGAAUACAAUUGAAGAAAGUGAAAACCAAGCUACUUGUGAGAGCUGCAAUGAAUAUUAUCAUGUGACAUGUAUGGGUUUUUUGUGUCAAGAUCGAGUGAAUGAGCGGAGAUUAAUCUGGAUUUGUUCAUCUUGUGGUAAUAACAACAUUGCGCAUCGACUGUUUGAUAAAGUAUGUAUCCCCUCUCAUUUGAAUAGAUACCAGCCUCUUGAGACAGUAGAUGAAGAAUUUGAUGAUGAUGUGCCCCUCUUACCCAAGCAAGAUGGCACACAAAAGAAAUCCAAAUCAAAGAAAAGGUAUUUUAAGAAAUGCAAGAAAAUCAAUAUAGAGCCAGGAAAUCAUAGUGAGUUUGACACACGUGAACAUGAUCCUGUAGUCACUCAAAGAGAUUCCCCCAAACAACGUGAUAAAGUGCAUAGUGAAGAAGUAGAUAGUAGUGAAUGGAUGAAGGUGAAAACAAAGAAGGCAAGGAUGUUGGAAAAGAUGCAAGAAAGAAUAUCGCAAUUAACAGCAAAAAGUGACAGUGGAACAGGUCAGGAAAAGAGAAUCAUAAAUGGUGUUGUUCUAGAACCUGGUGUAACAUACAUUGGCAAAGCAAUGAAAUCUUUCUAUGAAAGACGGAAAAGUAGAAAAUCAAAACGCAAAGUAGACAUCAAACUAAACAGAGAUGUAGAAUGUCGGAAAGUAAAGGAUAAUAGUGUUCAAAUGUACACAGAAACAUUGCUAGAUGAAUAUGCAAAGUGUGUGCAGUCACCACAGUCGAUGAUGUACCAUGAAACGCACCUCUACAAACAAAACAACGUGAAGGAGGAACAAUCUUGGGCUGAUGUAGUAGGCCAUGUACAAAAUGAAACAACACAGACAAAAUCUAUUGUUGGCAGUGUGACAUAUAGUCAUGUUUCUUUGAAACAAUCCAAGGGCAAAGAACAGAGCACAUUCAGAGUAUGUGGUGGUGCAAAACACUCACAAAAACCUGAAGUAGGAAACAAGAAAGUCCGUGUUCUAAAGGGCAACAAAACAUCUUGUGGAAAGUCAGUUGAUUCUAAAGUAUUGAAAAUGGAAGUAUUGAACGAUAAAGGAAAAGGAUGUGACGGAAAGACUAAAAGCGUGGGUGAAGUAAAGGUAGAUAAAGGCAAUAGUACUACUGUAAUCGAGGAGAAAUUGUGUGGCAGUGAUAAAGACAUGACAGAAAUACAGUCCAAAGCAGCAGAAAAUGGUCAGGUCAUUAAUACUUUUGAGGUUGGUAACCAAGUCACUUACAAAACAAGCAGUGAGCAUGAUGAUGAAUGUGCAAAUGAUCAAUUUGUCAAGUCACAGAAGUUUAUUCCUAAGAAAAUGUUUGGAAUGGAACAUGACAGUAAAUUCCAUAAACAGUCAGUCAACACGUCUAAUGUAAAUUUAGAAGAGAAGCAAAUCCCAAAUGAAAACAUAUCAAAUAUGGAACAAAAUACACUUGUGAAAUGUGUUGCCAUGGGCAAUUUUCAUCAAGGAAAUGCUAGAUUUGGAUUUUAUUCUGGAAAGCAAUGUGUUUCUAACAGUUUUGCUGCUAUUUUAUACAGUAAAAUUACAGAUGUUUCCCAAUGGCAAAAACAAGAUCUUGACAAGGUAUUGAUUUAUGGUAAUGAGUUGUAUAAAUUUAUUCAGCUUAGUUCUGCAAUAAAUGAUAAUUUCUUGUUGAUAUCUGAAUUACCUGAUCAAUUAGAAGCUUUUGAUGUCCAUUAUAAAAUGCAAUGUUCUCAGAGUGUUAUGGGUACAAUUUGUGGAGAUGAUUUUUUUUUGAUUAAUUUUAAUGCAGUAACAUUGAAAGAUGCUCUCCAUCAGGAAUUGGAUAGACAUGAUGCAUGCUUUUGUACAUUUGGUGGCCAAACAUUUGCAAUCAUAUCCACACGAAAACAAUAUUUUAUUUUUGAUUCACAUUCUAGAGACAGGCAUGGACUUAUGACAGAUGAUGGGACCAGUGUCGUUCUAUGUACAUCAAACUGGAAAGGUCAAUCUCUCUUUGUCUGACAGGGAAGGAAGUUAAUCACAACAUUCUGAGGCAGACAUGUAUCCAACAUUUGCUGCAAAACUCACAUAUAUUUGCUGGUUGUUUAAGGUAUGAAUUUUCAUCAGUUAAGGACUAUGUCAGUAGAAAUAAACCACAAAUCAAUAGUAAAUGGGCCACUGAGGUAGAGAUUGCUGUGAUGGCACAUCUGCUUGAAACAGAUAUAUUGAUUUACAGUGAUACAUAUCUGAAUUGGAGACUGUAUUCAUGGGAUAACCCUGGACGAAUUGUACAUGAAUCAAAUAUGAGAGGCAUUUAUCUAUUACAUGUUAAAGGUGUACAUUUUGAUUAUGUUGAAUCUGUCGAAUGUAUUGAUUCGGGUAUUGACGAAGGAAAAAAAACCAAGGAAAUUGAACCAUGUUCAAUUCAUGAAAAGAAAAGAAUGGGUGAAACUAAGGAAGUUACAUGUACUAUAAAAAGAUCUGUUCAUAGUGAUAUGCUUGAAGACAAUGAAAGUGAAAGUGAUACAAUAAUUAUUGAAGAUAUUAAAUAUUCCAAUUUAUCAGUCUUGAAAAAUGGUGUUACUGAUGUUAAAUGUAUUGAUUUGGUUAUUGACGAAGGAAAAAAAACAAAGGAAGUUACAUGUAAUAAACAGAGAUCUAUUCAUAGUGAAAUGCUUAAAGACAAUAAAAGUAAACUAUCCAAACAAUAUGCAUCUUGUGCAACGAAAGAUGAAAUUGAUGAAACGUUUAUGCCAAGUCUAAGCGGAAAAAGUGAAGACAUCUUUAUUUCCAAAAGAAAGAGAAAAGGUGACACAAUUCAUGAAAGUGUAAAGUGUGCUAAAUCGAAAAAGAUGUCUUUUCCACGAAUGCAUAGAUAUUGCAAAACAAAACAACCAAAACUGGAAAACGAUGAGAGGGCUAAAAAAUCAGCUUCUAGAAUUAUUAGUUAUCCAUCAGAAAAUUGUAAUACUAUUAAUAGAGGUGUUGCUGAUGUUUUAAAUAAAGGAAACAUGUUCAUUGGAAAUGACCCUUUAAAGAUACUGAAUGAAAAAAUUGCAUUGAAAAAAGUGUCAAUUAGACUGAUACGAUUAUCUGAAUCUGAAUUAAAAAAUAUUUCAUUUGAAUACGGAUCUUGCGCAACGAAAGAUGAAAUUGAAGAAACGUUUGUGCCAAGUGUAAGCGGAAAAAGUGAAGACAUUUUUAUUUCAAAAAGAAAGAGAAAAGGUGACACAAUUCAUGAAAGUGUAAAGUGUGCUAAAUCGAAAAAGAUGUCUUUUCCACAAAUGCAUAGAUAUUGCAAAACAAAACAACCAAAACUGGAAAACGAUGAGAGGGCUAAAAAAUCAGCUUCUAGAAUUAUUAGUUAUCCAUCAGAAAAUUGUAAUACUAUUAAUAGAGGUGUUGCUGAUGUUUUAAAUAAAGGAAACAUGUUCAUUGGAAAUGACCCUUUAAAGAUACUGAAUGAAAAAAUUGCAUUGAAAAAAGUGUCAAUUAGACUGAUACGAUUAUCUGAAUCUGAAUUAAAAAAUAUUUCAUUUGAAUACGGAUCUUGCGCAACGAAAGAUGAAAUUGAAGAAACGUUUGUGCCAAGUGUAAGCAGAAAAAGUGAAGACAUUUUUAUUUCAAAAAGAAAGAGAAUAGGUGACACAAUUCAUGAAAGUGUGAAGUGUGCUAAAUCAAAAAAGAUGUCUUCUCCAAAAAUGCAUAGAUAUUGCAAAACAAAACAACCCAAACUGGAAAGAAAUGAGAGGGAAAAAAAAUCAGCUUCUAGAAUUACUAGUUAUCCAUCAGGAAUUGUUCAUACUAUGAAUAGAGGUGUAAUUGAUGUUUUAAAUGAUGAACAAAUUGUAUUGAAAAAAGUGACAAUUAGACUUAUACGAUUAUCUGAAUCUGAAUUAAAGAAUCUUUCAUUUGAUCUUUUAAAAGAUAUAAAGAAAACACAAUCCAGUGCUAACUUACAAGGUACAAAUAUUCCAGUAAAAGGUUCUACAAUUGAAUUCCCUAAAAAACAAAUUAAAAAAGAAAACAAGAAAAGCAAAUGUAAGCAGUCUUUAAGAAAACGACAACAAUUAGCUAAAGAAAGGAUGAAAGCAAAAAGGAAACCAAUUAAUGAUCAUGAUGCAUACGAUAAUGUUCAAAAUAAUGAGAAGUACAUGGAUGGUUGCAAAUUCAAAGGAGAUUUCAGUGAUGUAAAGAAGACAAAAAUGAAGCAAAAGUAUCACUCUAACGAAUGUUUCAGAGAUGAAAAGAAAAAGAAGAUUAAACAAAAGUAUCAGUCUGACAAAUCCUUCAGAGAUGAACACAAGCAGAAAAUAAAGCAUAAGUAUCAGUCUAAUACAUUGUUUAGAGAUGAACACAAGAAGAAACUAAAUUUGAAAUAUGAGUCUAAUAAAUCCUUUAGAGAUGAACGCAAGAAAAAAAUACAUUUGAAAUAUGAGUCUAAUACAUUGUUUAGAGAUGAACACAAGAAGAAAAUGAAACAGAAAACAAAGCAUGACUAUCAGUCUAAUAAAUCUUUCAGAGAUGAACACAAGAAGAAAAUAAAAUUGAAAUAUGAGUCUAAUACAUUGUUUAGAGAUGAACACAAGAAAAAAAUAAAAUUGAAAUAUGAGUCAGAUACAUUGUUUAGAGAUGAACACAAGAAAAAAAUAAAAUUGAAAUAUGAGUCUAAUACAUUGUUUAGAGAUGAACACAAGAAAAAAAUAAAAUUGAAAUAUGAGUCUAAUACAUUGUUUAGAGAUGAACACAAGAAAAAAAUAAAAUUGAAAUAUGAGUCUAAUACAUUGUUUAGAGAUGAACACAAGAAAAAAAUAAAAUUGAAAUAUGAGUCUAAUACAUUGUUUAGAGAUGAACACAAGAAAAAAAUAAAAUUGAAAUAUGAGUCUAAUACAUUGUUUAGAGAUGAACACAAGAAGAAAAUGAAACAGAAAACAAAGCAUGACUAUCAAUCUAACAAAUGCUUCAGAGAUAUGCGCAAGAAGAAAAUAAAACAUAAGUAUCAAUCUAACCAGCAUUAUAGGCAGAGACUCGCAGAAAAAAAUAAAGAACGCGCUGGACUUAAGAAAAUGAGUUUCAAAAAAUUAGAAAAUGUACUAGAAAAUUUCAGAAAUGUUAUUUCUCAUGGACCAGAAUAUGUCUGUUGUGUAUGUCUGAAAUUGCUUUUUCAAAGUCAAGUCUUAAAAUGCAUUAAACAAAAUUACCAAAACAAAACGUGUAUAAAUGAGUCCUAUUUACACAUUUGCAAUUCACAAUGUAAUGAAAACUGUCGAUUGGCGCACUCAUCUCGUGGACAUUUAUGGAUAUGCUUUACAUGCCACAGAAAAUUGUUGGUGAAUAAAUUACCAGCUGAGGCUAGUGUUAACAGUUUGCAAUUGCAUGAGAUUCCAGAUGAAUUGAAGGACUUGAAUAAUUUAGAGCAACAUUUAAUUGCACGUAACAUAAGUUUUUUCAAAUUAAUCCGUUUACCUAAGGGAGGUCAAAAUGCAGUUCAUGGACCAGUUGUUUGUGUGCCUUCGAAUACAAUGAAAACUGUAAAUAUGUUACCUCCACCAGAAAGAGAAGAUCAAUUAAUCCGUGUGAAAUUAAAAAGAAAAAUAUCUUAUAAGGGCCAUCAUGAGUAUAAAUUUGUUAAUAAAAUUAAGGUGCUAAAUGGGUUGCACUAUUUGAAGAAAAACAAUAAGUGGUAUUCUGAUAUAAGUAUUAAUGAAAACUGGAAUAAUUCGUUGUCAGGAGAAAUGUGUAGUGCAGAAACAAACGACAAUGACGAUUCAAUUCAAAACUUUGAAGAACAGGAAACCGAUGACCAAGAAGCAAGGUUAAAUGGAAUUCAACUUGAUACCUGCUUGCAACCAGUUGAUAUUGGACAAGAAAUCCUUGAUCAACAUUUUGAUGAUAUUUUCUGUUGUGCUCCAUGUGAAGGCAACAAUCCCAUAGCACUUCUUAGAGAUGAAAGCAAUGAACCAAAAUCGUUUCCUGUAUUAUUUCCAAAAGGUCAACCAACUUAUCAUGAUGUCAGAAGUGUACGAGUGACCCUUGGAAGUUGUUUAUCGCCCUCCGACAUACAGAAUAAAAGACUUCUCAGCGACACUUCUGCCCCAGAGAUCACGUUCUGUCUCAGUAACGUCUUCGUCUAGGCUGCGGCGGGUGCCAGCACUGCCACAGCCUCCUGGGACGUCUCUACAACUAUGGACGCCUCAGAACCCAUCACAGCAGUCAGCAACUACUCGCCUGGUGAUUCCUUUGAUGUUGGCACUUAUCUGGUCAUAACGCUGGUUUCUACUCAACAUGCAGCUUUGAGGUCACUGUCACUUCAAGUGGAGUGGUCAUCGACAGAAAGAACCCCAUCCUGACCGGCUGUCUGACCGACAUCGUUGCCAAUGCCGGCCCUGGUACCUCGACCACGAUGGUUUCAUGGCUGGCUCCUGUGGCAUCAGACAACUCUGACUCCGCUACCCCGACGGUCAACCGACCACUAGGCAGUUCUUCCCUGUUGGAUCUACUGAGGUCACUUACACAGCUACCAACCCCACUGGGAACUUUGUCACGUGCAGUUUCGACUUCAAUGUCUUGUCUACCGAUGACAACACAGCCCCAGUCCUGUCGAACUGCCUUUCAGACCAAACCGUGUUCGCCUCUCAAAACGCCCAAGGUGCUGUAGCUACGUGGUCAGCACUGACUGCUACUGAUAACUCUGAUGACGUCAUGUCGAUCACAAGUGACUUCAGCUCCGGAACCCUUAUCCCGGUUGGCGUGACCACUGUGACCUUCACUGCUACGGACAGCUCUGGCAACAUGGACACUGUGAUUUCUCUGUUUCAGUCUUAGUUGGUGCCAACCCUUGUUCCAGCAACCCAUGCGCUCCCAGUGAACAGUGCUUCUACAUCCCAUCCCGAUACCUGUGUAUCAACAACGGCAGGAGGAGGAGAGAAGCUGAGAUGCUUGACCUUAGCUAUAUCUGCCUUUGCCAGAAUGGCGGUAUGUGUCUCCUAGACGACGCCACAUCCUCGGCCACCUGUGAAUGCCCCGUUGGAUACGCUGGUGUGCUCUGUGAGAUGGAUAUAAUGCCUGCUGCAUGGCGAUUAUGCUCGUCGUCAUCAUCUCUCUAUCUGGGUUGCCUUGUUACAUCAUACCGCGCCUCGGCAUGGUUCGUUGACAUCGAAGCAAGAUAGAUGAAAUUCCAAUCCUUCAAUAAACAGAACACUGCUCACAAGCUCAUUUAAAUCUAAUCUAAGCUUAUUGCAUUCAUGCCUUUGCUAGAAAGAUCCAUUGUGUAAUCCCAAUGGUAAGUUAUGAGAAUUGAAAUAUUGAAAUGUACAUGCGAGGAGAUAUCUAUUUCUAUGCAAAACAUGAAUUCAAAUGGCUGGUAAUUAGAUUUCUCAAAAGGGAAAAAUCUUGUGGCCAUUAGGCAAUGUUUGUUGAAGAAUGUCUUCUAACCAUUAUGUAUUAAUUGUGCUACAAAUGUCUGUAAAUACUGUGUACGCUUAAUGGUACAUUCUUAGUUGCAUAAUUUCACGUUGAUGUAAGACGUAGUCAAAGGCCGAAACAUGGAGGAGGUGUUGUUUUCAAUGUGCUGAUUGGGUGUCAAUGCGAUUUUUUGUUUAUGUCCCAUGAAACUAUUUGUUAAUAUGUUAUGUUACUUCUCUGAGAUUACCCUAAGAAUAUUCUCUCUGUGUGAACACUUACUAGCCUUUCUCUCUGAAAUUCAUCUAGAAAUGCUGUGUUUGUAAUGUUUUUGUCACGACAGAACUGAUCAUUUGUCGAUUUUUCUUCUUCAAACUAAUUGUUGACGGCUCAGACUUUAAUGCCAACUGAAAAAUAUGGCUAUGUUUAGGUUGUUUUGUUGGAAAGGAGUAAUGUUUGGAAGUAUUUUUGACUUUAUUUCGCUUCAGGUAUGCUUUUGUGUGGUUUAAAUCCCUGACUACGGUACUUUAUUUCAAUCUCAAAGUAUUUCAAACACCAAAGCAUUUCAGAAAUGCCAAAUAUAUCAUGUUUUAUAUUGCAUUCACUUAUAUAUAUUGCAGAAUUUUUAUAUUAAAUUACAUCAAUUCUG